AUAUUGGACAAUGGGCGAAAGCCUGAUCCAGCAAUGCCGCGUGAGUGAUGAAGGCCUUAGGGUUGUAAAGCUCUUUUACCCGGGAUGAUAAUGACAGUACCGGGAGAAUAAGCUCCGGCUAACUCCGUGCCAGCAGCCGCGGUAAUACGGAGGGAGCUAGCGUUGUUCGGAAUUACUGGGCGUAAAGCGCACGUAGGCGGCUUUGUAAGUUAGAGGUGAAAGCCCGGGGCUCAACUCCGGAACUGCCUUUAAGACUGCAUCGCUUGAAUCCGGGAGAGGUGAGUGGAAUUCCGAGUGUAGAGGUGAAAUCCGUAGAA
This 317-nucleotide ribosomal RNA is filed under the name uncultured bacterium. Its description in RNAcentral is "bacterial SSU rRNA". It matches the Rfam family "Bacterial small subunit ribosomal RNA", at positions 361 to 695 of the family's 1533-position model. The record is from RNAcentral.